GACGAACGCUGGCGGCGUGCUUAACACAUGCAAGUCGAACGAUGAAGCCGGAGCUUGCUCUGGUGAAUUAGUGGCGAACGGGUGAGUAACACGUGAGUAACCUGCCCUUGACUCUGGGAUAACUGCGGGAAACUGUAGCUAAUACCGGAUACGACCCUCGGAGGCAUCUCCUGGGGGUGGAAAGAAUUUCGGUCAAGGAUGGACUCGCGGCCUAUCAGCUAGUUGGUGAGGUAAAGGCUCACCAAGGCGACGACGGGUAGCCGGCCUGAGAGGGUGACCGGCCACACUGGGACUGAGACACGGCCCAGACUCCUACGGGAGACAGCAGUGGGGAAUAUUGCACAAUGGGCGCAAGCCUGAUGCAGCAACGCCGCGUGAGGGAUGACGGCCUUCGGGUUGUAAACCUCUUUUAGCAGGGAAGAAGCGAAAGUGACGGUACCUGCAGAAAAAGCACCGGCUAACUACGUGCCAGCCGCCGCCGUAA
RNAcentral lists this ribosomal RNA (484 nucleotides) under uncultured bacterium. RNAcentral's name for it is "partial 16S ribosomal RNA". It matches the Rfam family "Bacterial small subunit ribosomal RNA", at positions 28 to 523 of the family's 1533-position model. The record is from RNAcentral.